This 668-nucleotide ribosomal RNA is filed under the name Salmonella enterica. Its description in RNAcentral is "partial 23S ribosomal RNA". It matches the Rfam family "Bacterial large subunit ribosomal RNA", at positions 2261 to 2925 of the family's 2925-position model. Lineage: Bacteria; Pseudomonadati; Pseudomonadota; Gammaproteobacteria; Enterobacterales; Enterobacteriaceae. The record is from RNAcentral. RNAcentral also lists the same sequence under 6 other names.
GUGGGUAGUUUGACUGGGGCGGUCUCCUCCUAAAGAGUAACGGAGGAGCACGAAGGUUGGCUAAUCCUGGUCGGACAUCAGGAGGUUAGUGCAAUGGCAUAAGCCAGCUUGACUGCGAGCGUGACGGCGCGAGCAGGUGCGAAAGCAGGUCAUAGUGAUCCGGUGGUUCUGAAUGGAAGGGCCAUCGCUCAACGGAUAAAAGGUACUCCGGGGAUAACAGGCUGAUACCGCCCAAGAGUUCAUAUCGACGGCGGUGUUUGGCACCUCGAUGUCGGCUCAUCACAUCCUGGGGCUGAAGUAGGUCCCAAGGGUAUGGCUGUUCGCCAUUUAAAGUGGUACGCGAGCUGGGUUUAGAACGUCGUGAGACAGUUCGGUCCCUAUCUGCCGUGGGCGCUGGAGAACUGAGGGGGGCUGCUCCUAGUACGAGAGGACCGGAGUGGACGCAUCACUGGUGUUCGGGUUGUCAUGCCAAUGGCACUGCCCGGUAGCUAAAUGCGGAAGAGAUAAGUGCUGAAAGCAUCUAAGCACGAAACUUGCCCCGAGAUGAGUUCUCCCUGAGACUUAGAGUCUCCUGAAGGAACGUUGAAGACGACGACGUUGAUAGGCCGGGUGUGUAAGCGCAGCGAUGCGUUGAGCUAACCGGUACUAAUGAACCGUGAGGCUUAACC